UUUCGCAAUGCCCGAAAGGGUGACGAAGCGACGCCGCGUGUGGGAAGAAGGCCUUCGGGUUGUAAACCACUGUCGGGAGUUAAGAAAUACAAGGAUAUUAAUAGUGUCUUUGUUUGACUAAGGCUCCGGAGGAAGCCACGGCUAACUCUGUGCCAGCAGCCGCGGUAAUACAGAGGCGGCAAGCGUUGUUCGGAAUUAUUGGGCGUAAAGAGCACGUAGGCGGCUGUGUAAGUCGGUUGUGAAAGCCUUCCGCUCAACGGAAGAACAGCAUCCGAUACUACAUGGCUUGAGUGCGGGAGGGGAGAGUGGAACUUCUGGUGGAGCGGUGAAAUGCGUAGAUAUCAGAAGGAACGCCGGCGGCGAAAGCGGCUCUCUGGCCCGUAACUGACGCUGAGUGUGCGAAAGCUAGGGGAGCAAACGGGAUUAGAUACCCCGGUAGUCCUAGCCGUAAACGAUGGGCACUAAGUAGAGGGGUUUU
Molecule: ribosomal RNA, 478 nt
Filed under: uncultured Planctomycetales bacterium
Lineage: Bacteria; Pseudomonadati; Planctomycetota; Planctomycetia; Planctomycetales
Description: bacterial SSU rRNA
Rfam family: Bacterial small subunit ribosomal RNA
Source: RNAcentral